UACGUAGGGGGCAAGCGUUGUCCGGAAUCAUUGGGCGUAAAGCGCGCGUAGGCGGCCCUGUAAGUCCGUUGUGAAAGUCGAAGGCUCAACCUUCGAAAGCCGAUGGAUACUGCAGGGCUAGAGUCCGGAAGAGGCGAGUGGAAUUCCUGGUGUAGCGGUGGAAUGCGCAGAUAUCAGGAGGAACACCAAUAGCGAAGGCAGCUCGCUGGGACGGUACUGACGCUAAGGCGCGAAAACGUGGGGAGCGAACAGG
RNAcentral lists this ribosomal RNA (253 nucleotides) under uncultured bacterium. RNAcentral describes it as "partial 16S ribosomal RNA". It matches the Rfam family "Bacterial small subunit ribosomal RNA", at positions 524 to 776 of the family's 1533-position model. The record is from RNAcentral.